This 1593-nucleotide long non-coding RNA is filed under the name Vulpes vulpes (red fox). Its description in RNAcentral is "lncRNA (ENSVVUG00000015874.1)". The record is from RNAcentral. Lineage: Eukaryota; Metazoa; Chordata; Mammalia; Carnivora; Canidae.
AAAUCACUGGCAUUUACACCAUCAUAAGACCAAGAUUGCUAAUUUUUAAAGUGUUUUCCCUUGUAGCCUCUCUUUAUAAAUCUCCCCCUUCCAGAGCCUGGGGCUAAAAUCAAAGGGACAGAUUUAGGAUGGGUGGAUGCUUUGUCCUUUAGCUUUGUCUGACAUUUUACUUACUAUUUUUUUAGCUUUUUUUGAAAUUAUAAUACCAGUUACAAUUUGAGAGAAUAAACAAAAUUUGGGUUUCUGAAAACUCGGGAGGGAGUUAGAAGAUAAGUGAGACGUGGAUGAAUCAGCUAUAUUAGAAAACCUGGGAAGGUGAGCUGAGUUGGAAACUUGAUAGAUCUAAUAAUUUAUUGGCUCAGGAUUUGUCAAUCACCCAGCUCAGCAAAUGAGAUUAGAGCAGAGUCAUAGGGGAGGGAGGGAGUGACGCAGCAAACUAUUUGCACCAAGAAAAUCUAGUCAAAAGACCUCUGUGUAAUCGUAUUGCGGCACCAGUUUUUCUUGCAGCAGCUGCCGCUUGCGAAGGAGGUCCGCCCAACUGCAGCUCUCUGCCGUCUCUGGCUCGCUCCUGCGAGACUGGCCUCGCCACUCUCUGAACCCAAGCCCAUCCUCCGUCCACUUCUCACAGCAUUCAUCCCCGCAGCAGCCUCCACCGUUAUUCCCGCAGCCCAGCCAGCCACUACUGCUCGCUCCACCUCUGCCCCAGCCACCACCGCUUCUGCUAUUCCGGUGAUUGUGAUGUGAUCCCACAGAAUUAUAAGAUGAAAGUGGAACAAAAGCUCUUCUGCUUGUGACUUAUUCCUCCAUUAUUGAACAUGCUCCCUUCGGAUUUUGGCUCAGAGAGGCAACCUGAGAGGCUGAAGACUCACCACCACCCCAGCCCCAAGGCUCCCGUUCCCGCCCCCUCCCACAGCCUGCGGCCCCACAGCCCCGCAGCAGCCACAGGGGGAACCAAAGAGACAGAAGCCUGCCCAGCUGCCCGGACCACAGACGCCAACACCCCCCGCCCCCCACCACACGCCGCCCGCCCGCGCCCCGCACGCUAGCCCACGACUGAGCGGCGGCGGCAGCAGCAGGCUGCAGGCUGCGGCGACUCGCACCGGCGCGCUCCUGGCAGCGCUCGCUUGCUAUUCCAAGUGACCUGGACUCGCCGGAUCGGUUGGCCCCGGGACCCGGGUCCCGGCCCCAGCUCCCGCUCGCGCCCCCGGCCCGGGUUCCAGCGCCCACACGCCCUCCUGCCCUUUCCCGCCCCUCCGUCCCCCAGCUCGCGGGAAGGGAGGUCGCGGCAGCGGCCUGGUGGCACCGGAGACCGUGGCGACAGCGGCGACAGUGGCGGCGGCGGUGGCGGCAGCGGCGGCGGCGGCGGCGGCGGAGGCUGCGGCGGCGACCGUGGCAGAGGCUGUGGCGGAGGCCUCCGUAGCUGAGGCGGAAGCAGAGGUGGAGGCCGAGGCCUCAGUAGAGGAGGCAGUGGGGGAGGCCACCCAGGGGGAGGCGACGGCGGCCCUGGCAGUGGGGGAAGAGGCGGAGGCCGCCCUGGCGGCAGCGGUUGUGGAGGCCAGCGCGGCUGAAGCCGCCGCCGCCGCCACAGCAGCA